This 275-nucleotide RNase P RNA is filed under the name Mesomycoplasma conjunctivae HRC/581. RNAcentral's name for it is "Mycoplasma conjunctivae HRC/581 Bacterial RNase P class B". It matches the Rfam family "Bacterial RNase P class B". From Rfam's summary of the family: Ribonuclease P (RNase P) is a ubiquitous endoribonuclease, found in archaea, bacteria and eukarya as well as chloroplasts and mitochondria. Its best characterised activity is the generation of mature 5'-ends of tRNAs by cleaving the 5'-leader elements of precursor-tRNAs. Cellular RNase Ps are ribonucleoproteins. Lineage: Bacteria; Bacillati; Mycoplasmatota; Mycoplasmoidales; Metamycoplasmataceae. The record is from Rfam by way of RNAcentral.
AGCAUAAGUUAAUUGCUGCUUUUUAAAAAAGUAGAGGAAAGUCCGCGCUAGCACUACCUGAGAUGGUAGUAGUGUUCAUGUUGGAUCUAAGAAAUCCAAGCCUAGACGACAAGUGCCACAGAGACGAGCUUAUUAAAUUAAGGUGAAACGCGGUAAACUCCAUGAGCUAGAAACCCAAAUUUUGGUAGGGGAGUUCAACUAGAGGAAUUCAACAAUAGUUGAGAGGUUUUUAACCUAGAUAAAUAAUUAACUAAUACAGAACGCGGCUUAUUAAU